GACGAACGCUGGCGGCGUGCCUAACACAUGCAAGUCGAACGGAGUAGAGACUUCGGUUUUUACUUAGUGGCGAACGGGUGAGUAACGCGUGAGAAACCUGCCUUUCAGUGGGGGACAACAGUUGGAAACGACUGCUAAUACCGCAUAACAUAUCGAGGGGGCAUCCUCUUGAUAUCAAAGCUUUAUGUGCUGAGAGAUGGUCUCGCGUCUGAUUAGCUAGAUGGCGGGGUAACGGCCCACCAUGGCGACGAUCAGUAGCCGGUCUGAGAGGAUGAACGGCCACAUUGGGACUGAGAUACGGCCCAGACUCCUACGGGAGGCAGCAGUGGGGAAUAUUGGGCAAUGGGGGAAACCCUGACCCAGCAACGCCGCGUGAAGGAAGAAGGCCUUCGGGUUGUAAACUCCUGUCCUCAGGGAAGAGCAAGAGACGGUACCUGAGGAGGAAGCCCGGCUAACUACGUG
This 462-nucleotide ribosomal RNA is filed under the name uncultured bacterium. Its description in RNAcentral is "bacterial SSU rRNA". It matches the Rfam family "Bacterial small subunit ribosomal RNA", at positions 28 to 507 of the family's 1533-position model. The record is from RNAcentral.